Molecule: transfer RNA, 72 nt
Filed under: Marmota monax (woodchuck)
Lineage: Eukaryota; Metazoa; Chordata; Mammalia; Rodentia; Sciuridae
Description: tRNA.Ala
Source: RNAcentral
GGGGUUGUGGCUCAGCGGUAGAUCGCUCACCUAGCAUGUGUGGGGUGCUGAGUUCGAUCCUCAGCAUCACAU